This 5206-nucleotide small RNA is filed under the name Pongo abelii (Sumatran orangutan). RNAcentral describes it as "processed transcript". Lineage: Eukaryota; Metazoa; Chordata; Mammalia; Primates; Hominidae. The record is from RNAcentral.
GUGGCUAGUGAGGCCCAGCCUGCAGAUUUCUAACAGGGUGCCCCAUGCCCCAGCACCCUCCCCACUGGGACCACUCCUCAUAGAAUAGCCCCACUCCAAAGCAUUUAUGACUUGAACCUUCUGACCAAAGCUCUCUGAAUCUUGGGGGAACCUAGAAGAGGAAAAGGAAUGUCAGGCUCUGUCAGAGUCAGCCAAGCGAGAUCAGCCAGGGGUCUGCUCCCUGCAGACCACACGGGAAGCCAGGGUGUGCAGUGAGUCUAAACUGGAAUCUUACCCUGCAAAACAAAUGGCCAUUAUUAGAGUUUUCCAAAACCACCCUGAAGCCCCUGACUGUGCCCAAAGUUCAGAUCUCAGAAGUGGAUGCCCCGCCGGAGGGUGACCAGAUGCCAAGCCCCACAGACUCCAGGGGCCUGAAGCCCCUGCAGGAGGACACCCCACAGCUGAUGCGCACACGCAGUGAUGUUGGGGUGCGUCGCCGUGGCAAUGUGAGGACGCCUAGUGACCAGCGGCGAAUCAGACGCCACCGCUUCUCCAUCAACGGCCAUUUCUACAACCAUAAGACAUCCGUGUUCACACCAGCCUAUGGCUCUGUCACCAACGUCCGCAUCAACAGCACCAUGACCACCCCACAGGUCCUGAAGCUGCUGCUCAACAAAUUUAAGAUUGAGAAUUCAGCAGAGGAGUUUGCCUUGUACGUGGUCCAUACGAGUGGUGGGCCCAUGUGAGCAGGUCUCCAAAGUGUUCCUAAUGGAGAAAGACCAGGUGGAGGAAGUCACCUAUGACGUGGCCCAGUAUAUAAAGUUCGAGAUGCCGGUACUUAAAAGCUUCAUUCAGAAGCUCCAGGAGGAAGAAGAUCGGGAAGUAAAGAAGCUGAUGCGCAAGUACACCGUGCUCCGGCUAAUGAUUCGUCAGAGGUUGGAGGAGAUAGCCGAGACCCCAGCAACAAUCUGAGCCAUGAGAACGAGGGGAUCCGGGCACCCCAGGAACCGCCAUUGCCCAUAAGACCCCCAGGAAGCUAGGCACUUUCUUUCCAUGGAAACAUUUAGACACAAACCUCCCCAGCUCCAGCCAAGCCAUCAAUUGCUACCUGGAGCUGGAUGUAGAAGUCAGCAGACAGCUCCCUAUCCCUGGACCCCUGCCCUCCUUUUUUCUGCUCACAAGGACUUUUGAUUUUAGUUAUAAGGAGGACCCAAAAUGUGUGUGUGUAUAUGUGUGUGCACGCAUGGUACGUGUCCAUGUGCCUACCUGAUACUUUCACAUGUAAUUAAAUUCCAGGCAACCAGCACAAGAGCCGUGAGCUUGGCACAUGUGCUGCUCGUGAGCAGGAAAAUCAGAGGAGCCACUGAUCUGAGUGGUAUUUAGGUUGAAGGAAAGAUUUCUCCUCUCAAGUGCCAGGGAGCAGCCACAUAUCUGCCUGUGUUUAGAAAGGGAAGAGGGUUCUCCAGGUUCACCAUUUGGGUUGUUUAUAUGUUGGUAGAAAUCCUCCCUGUAUGCCUAGAAGGAUCAGUGAAUGUAAGAGCCUUGGAAAUUAACAAAAUAACAGCCACAUAACCUGCGGCAAGUCUGAUGGAAAGAAAAAGAUAAACCAUCUGUGGGGUAGAUGCAAUAAGCCCACAUAUUUUUACACUGGAAACCGUGAUUGUUUUAAAUGACAAAGACAUAUGUGAUGUUCUAUGUGGAAACCUGUGAAGAGUGGAUUCUGCCUCCAUCUCUGCCUCCAUGGCUACCUUUAGGAGACAGAGAAGAUCCUGUGUGUUUCUCUGUACCCAGCUGACAGCCUAUCUCUCUGGCGCUUCCUUGAGUGGAAGGAAAUGUCUCAAGAAACAAAGAUCUCGCUGGUGUGUACACAGUGCUGACCAGCUAGUGUGGCCAGGGCCUGGUGGCCUGGUGGCCAGGAAGUUUCAGGUUGAAGGGAAAUGUCGAGGCUACCUGCAGAAAUGACAGGUACCUUGAAUGCAGCCCAUCUUCACAUCAUCAAAAGUCUUCCUGCACUUGAAGCUGGGGCGAUGUUUGCCGUCAAGACUUCAUUCUUUCCAACCUCUGGGUUCUUGCAAGUUGCCCUCACCUUGUGUGGGGAGAUGCAUUCCAAGAAUGAAGCCUCAUCUUGCUACUGAGUGUGGGGUUCAGGGAAGCUCUUUAGGCCACCUGGUGAAGAUGCAUGGGGAGGAUGGAGCUUCUCCUCAGCUCCUAUGAGCAGCCACCUAUGUGAUCUUUAGAUCCAACCCCAAUGGGAGAAAAGGGCAAGAACAGUCUGUGCCCUGGGACUCCCAUCAGGAAGCUUGACAGGCAGCUGGGCAUCAGUGCAGCUGAUAUCGUUUGAGGAGGGAGACAGAUGCUUGGACCUGGGUGCCUGGCUGUGGAGAUCGACCAAGCAAGACCAGGAGCUCCUGAUAGCAGGCGUCUCUGAGCCUAGCUGGGGUAGAGGCACCGCCCAUCUCUUCUCCACCUUCUCUCCACGGAAUGUUUGCAGAGCUGGGCAGUUGAGGAAAGGACAGCCCCUGGUUGGUGCCUCCAAAGGAAGGUGGACCUUUUUGGUGGAGAUGUUUCUGCCCUGGGCACCCUCCUGCCCCUCAUUCAUAGCUAUGGCUUCUUUAGAAGGCUCACAGCUGUAGUCUUAAUGUAGACUGCAAAAAGAUGGCAUGCUGCCCCUGGCAUUUCACCAGGGGUUUUAUAGCAAGUCUCCUUCCUCCAUAGGGACAGCAGCACCAGCCCUGUGGGGCAUGGAGUGGAAACCCAGAAGGGCUUCUGCAAACUGCACAGAAUUGGGGUAAGAAGACAAAGAGUGGGCACCGGGAGAGGCUUCCUUUGUUACAGCUGGGAAAGAACAGUUCUGUGAAUGCAAACACCUCCUGAGUUUUGCAAUUGAGAAAAUGAUUUGGAGAACUUCUCUUCUGGUAAUUUUUAUUUUGAAUGUUCAAGGCCUUAGUCGGCCCCAGUAAUUCUCCUUGGAGGACUUGGGAGAAGAAUUUCCACAAAGCAGACUACUAACCACUAGCUCUUAUUGGAUAGCGAUUUCUGGCUUGUAAGAGUUCUCUUUGAUUUGCACUGGCACUACGAUAGUGUUAAAUGGGGAAAUACUGCAACAUGUCCAGUUGGCCAGAUCACUUUCCAAGGGAGCAAUACUAAGGCAGACUCACCUUUUUAAAGAUGGGAGGUCAGGGGGUGGAAGUGAGAGGAGAUCCCAUCUCACACAACACACUUCCACAUAAUGCAGACCACACUUUUCCAUUUUGUCCUGCCCUCUUUAGAGGUCAUUUCUCACGUCCUAAGAACCUGAUCAGAAGUUUUGGAAGGGUUCUUUGAAAUAGCAGAAGUUGAAACAGAGACGCUUUGCCACAGUGUGGAGCAGAUUUUCUCACUGGUAUCACAUGGUCUUGCAGUUUUGAACUCUUCGACCGAUUUGUGGGAGUUUAUGUAAUUGCGUGCAAUGAACCUGAAAUUGUGUAAAGAACAAAAGACCAGUUUAUAGGGUUGGGUUUUUUUUCCAACUUGUGAAAAGCAGUUUAGCUGCAUCUGUCUCCCCUCCACCCCCACCCUGGGAGGGGCUUAUGUUACAAAGUGAUCAAGUGAAAGAAAAACCUGAGCCUAUCUGGCUGGGAUGGUGGAAUUAAGCACAAGGUCACAUUCUCUGUGAUCACGAGAGGGAAGGUGAUGACUUAAAUGGUGGGGGGUGAGGAUUAUCUUGGGGAGAGGCUGAAAAGCACAAAAGAUAGUCUUGCCUGUACGUAUUGGUGAAGAACGUGCACAAGGCUGGACAGACUUCAACUUGGAGUUGAGUUGAGGCAAGAGGAUUUCUGGAUAUUAGUCACCCAUCUGCAAGAAAAAUGCUGAGGCCUCGGGUCAAGAUUUUGAUCUGAGACAUGCUCAUGCUUCAAGGAGAAAUAUUUUCACAAUCCUCUCUUCCCUCACCAAAAGAAAACAGUACUCUCUCCUAGAAACCUCUAGGUAAACACAUUUUAUCCUAAUAUCGGUAGCAUAUAAUGCCUCCCCAAAAAAUCUGUUUUCCAUGCAAAAAAGUCUCAACAAGAAGUCUGUGGAGUUGAGUGGUUACUUCAAAGUGUCAGGAGGGUGGAGAGAGAAAUUGGCCACAGAAGAGCAGGAAGCUCUCUUAAGAAAACGGAAUUCUCUUUAAAGAAACCACCACCACCAACAAAACAACCAAAAACCACGUUUAUGUCAAAGCUCUGUAGCACAGAGAAUGUGGUGUCAUAGAUACAUCGCCGAGAGAGAUUUCUUUCUUUCUUUCUUUCUUUUUUAUUUGAGACAGAGUCUGGCUCUGUUUCCCAGGCUGGAGUGCAGUGGUGCGAUCUCAGCUCACUGCAACAUCUGCCUCCAGGGUUCAAGUGAUUCUCCUGUCUCAGCCUCCCAAGUAGCUGGAAUUACAGGGACCCGCCACCACGCCCGGCUGAUUUUUUUUGUGUGGUUUUAGUAGAGAUGGGGUUUCACCAUCUUGGCCAGGCUGGUCUUGAACUCCUGACCUCGUGACCCACCCGCCUAUGCCUCCCAAAGUGCUGGGAUUACAGGCGUGAGCCACUGCGCCCGGCCAAGAGAGAGAUUUCCACAUGAAUAAGGCAAUUUCAGUGUCUCACGGUAGCCAAACCAUGAUGUGAAGAAUGAGAUAGGAGACAGGAGAUCACCAUGAGCGUCCCUGAUAUAGCAGCACACAUUUUCACGUUUCCACUAAAAUUGUUUUGCACAAAGUCUUGCUUCACUCAGAUGGGAUAUGAUUUCCUAGAGAUGUCAAAAUAAGAAUGAAUGUGGCGCCCCCUUCUUCCAGAUGUAAUAGAAAGCUUUGCCCUAUCACAAGGGGGUGUUUAAGUGCCCCUUGUGUUUUAACUGUAUUUAACUGAGCACAAGAUGCACAAGCUAUGGUGGGAAACCCUCAGUUUACCUUUGGAGUCUUCCCUGCAGAUCGCAGAACUGUUUCUAGUCUGAUGUUUCUGGUGUGUAAUUGCUAGUGUUUCUGAAGGGUUUUCCCAAUUGUUUUAGCCUUGUGAAGUAUUCCUUACUUAAUUAUAACUUGCCUUUCAGCAAUGGUACAUGACUUGAUUCAAUGUUUGGUUCUGAACUUAUACACUGAUGCGUUUACUCAUCUAACAUAACCUGACAAGGCCUCAGUAAGGGAGCCAUACAUUUUUGUAACAUUUUGAUAUGUUUUAAUGCAUCUGACUUAGAUCUUACUGAAAUAAAGCACUUUUCAAAGAGA